Molecule: ribosomal RNA, 379 nt
Filed under: uncultured organism
Description: partial 16S ribosomal RNA
Rfam family: Bacterial small subunit ribosomal RNA
Source: RNAcentral
GUAGGUGGCAAGCGUUGUCCGGAAUUAUUGGGCGUAAAGCGCGCGCAGGCGGUUCUUUAAGUCUGAUGUGAAAGCCCACGGCUCAACCGUGGAGGGUCAUUGGAAACUGGAGAACUUGAGUACAGAAGAGGAAAGCGGAAUUCCACGUGUAGCGGUGAAAUGCGUAGAGAUGUGGAGGAACACCAGUGGCGAAGGCGGCUUUCUGGUCUGUAGCUGACGCUGAGGCGCGAAAGCGUGGGGGGGAGCAAACAGGAUUAGAUACCCUGGUAGUCCACGCCGUAAACGAUGAGUGCUAAGUGGUUAGGGGGUUUCCGCCCCCCCCUUAGUGCUGCAGCUAACGCAUUAAGCACUCCGCCUGGGGAGUACGGCCGCAAGGCUG